This 217-nucleotide unclassified non-coding RNA is filed under the name uncultured Postia. RNAcentral's name for it is "sequence contains ITS2". Lineage: Eukaryota; Fungi; Basidiomycota; Agaricomycetes; Polyporales; Polyporaceae. The record is from RNAcentral.
AAUCAUCAACUCUUAUCUUUAAUGGAUGAGGGCUUGGACUUGGAGGCUCAUGCUGGUAUUUCUUUUAAUAAGAAAAAUCAGCUCCUCUUGAAUGCAUUAGCUUGAACCUAUGCUGUAUCGGCUGUUCGGUGUGAUAAUUGUCUACGCCGUGGCUGUGAGGCUUUAAACUUGUAGGAUCAGCUUCCAAUCGUCCCCUCGGGACAACAUCUUCAUUGAC